CAGCAGCCGCGGGAAUACGGAGGGUGCAAGCGUUAAUCGGAAUUACUGGGCGUAAAGCGCACGCAGGCGGUCUGUCAAGUCGGAUGUGAAAUCCCCGGGCUCAACCUGGGAACUGCAUUCGAAACUGGCAGGCUAGAGUCUUGUAGAGGGGGGUAGAAUUCCAGGUGUAGCGGUGAAAUGCGUAGAGAUCUGGAGGAAUACCGGUGGCGAAGGCGGCCCCCUGGACAAAGACUGACGCUCAGGUGCGAAAGCGUGGGGAGCAAACAGGAUUAGAGACCCCAGUAGUCCCUGUCUCUUAUAC
This 301-nucleotide ribosomal RNA is filed under the name uncultured bacterium. RNAcentral describes it as "partial 16S ribosomal RNA". It matches the Rfam family "Bacterial small subunit ribosomal RNA", at positions 509 to 807 of the family's 1533-position model. The record is from RNAcentral.